Molecule: long non-coding RNA, 760 nt
Organism: Xiphophorus maculatus (southern platyfish)
Lineage: Eukaryota; Metazoa; Chordata; Actinopteri; Cyprinodontiformes; Poeciliidae
Exons: 3
Source: RefSeq, a predicted model, not a curated record
ACUGGGGGUCGUUUCGGACCACAACCGCAGCUGAUAGAGAGGGGGGAAAAAAAAUAUCACGUUUGAUCCUCUUACGAUUCAAUCCGGGCUGCAGCCGUCGGGAUGAAACGAACACGACCGGACAGAUCCAGAGUUUUAGAUACUCGACCGGCGACAUGAUCAACGACCCGACAACAAAGCAAAAGGAUGAGUUUUUAGGACGCGGUUCGUCUCAUCUGUGCAUCUGUAGCGACACGCUGCUGUGGUUCUUUUUCACGCUGCACUGAAUCAAACAGACCAAACUAAUUAAAAACCUGUUCCCCUCCUCGUCUGUGGGGGCGCCACACCAAGAACCACUGAAGGAAACGGCAAAAAAUCCUCUGAAGACACCGUGAGAAACUUUCUUCUUCACCAAAUGUAAACAAAAAAACGGACUGGCGUCAGGUUUUAGAAGUUGUAGUAUUUCUCUUUUAUCUUUGGUAAAUCCAUUUCUCCCGCUAGCGCUAAGCUAACAUGUUUGUUUUGGUUGUAUUUACCCAGAAUGCCCUGCAUUUUAGUUCACUUCCUGCUUUUGGAGCGGCUAAAGAUUAACCAGAAUCAUUCCGAUUUUUAAAAAUUGUAAUUCUUUUGACUCUGUAAUUUGAAGUACUUUGCUUUAUUUACUAUUGAUUGUAAUUUUUCAUUUAAUAAAAUGUUAAAGGUCUUUUUAAGGGCGAGUGUUGCUAAUUAGCUAUGGCUGUAUACACUGUGAUGCAGACAGGAUUGUUUUUGUUUUGCUCUA